Molecule: ribosomal RNA, 497 nt
Filed under: uncultured bacterium
Lineage: Bacteria
Description: partial 16S ribosomal RNA
Rfam family: Bacterial small subunit ribosomal RNA
Source: RNAcentral
GAUGAACGCUGGCGGCGUGCCUAAUACAUGCAGGUCGAGCGAACAGAUGAGGGGCUUGCUCCUCUGACGUUAGCGGCGGACGGGUGAGUAACACGUGGAUAACCUACCUAUAAGACUGGGAUAACUUCGGGAAACCGGAGCUAAUACCGGAUAAUAUAUUGAACCGCAUGGUUCAAUAGUGAAAGACGGUUUUGCUGUCACUUAUAGAUGGAUCCGCGCCGCAUUAGCUAGUUGGUAAGGUAACGGCUUACCAAGGCAACGAUGCGUAGCCGACCUGAGAGGGUGAUCGGCCACACUGGAACUGAGACACGGUCCAGACUCCUACGGGAGGCAGCAGUAGGGAAUCUUCCGCAAUGGGCGAAAGCCUGACGGAGCAACGCCGCGUGAGUGAUGAAGGUCUUCGGAUCGUAAAACUCUGUUAUUAGGGAAGAACAAAUGUGUAAGUAACUAUGCACGUCUUGACGGUACCUAAUCAGAAAGCCACGGCUAACUACGUG